UGGUCUUGACAUCCAUGGAAUCCCGCAGAGAUGUGGGAGUGCCGUAAGGAACCAUGAGACAGGUGCUGCAUGGCUGUCGUCAGCUCGUGUCGUGAGAUGUUGGGUUAAGUCCCGCAACGAGCGCAACCCUUGUCCUUAGUUGCCAUCAUUAAGUUGGGAACUCUAAGGAGACCGCCGGUGACAAACCGGAGGAAGGUGGGGAUGACGUUUCCAGGUUAGG
This 220-nucleotide unclassified non-coding RNA is filed under the name uncultured Gammaproteobacteria bacterium. RNAcentral's name for it is "contains 16S-23S intergenic spacer region". It matches the Rfam family "Bacterial small subunit ribosomal RNA", at positions 976 to 1194 of the family's 1533-position model. Lineage: Bacteria; Pseudomonadati; Pseudomonadota; Gammaproteobacteria. The record is from RNAcentral.